Molecule: transfer RNA, 75 nt
Filed under: Schistocerca americana (American grasshopper)
Lineage: Eukaryota; Metazoa; Arthropoda; Insecta; Orthoptera; Acrididae
Also listed under: 3 other names
Description: tRNA-Pro
Rfam family: tRNA
About the family: Transfer RNA (tRNA) molecules are approximately 80 nucleotides in length. Their secondary structure includes four short double-helical elements and three loops (D, anti-codon, and T loops).
Source: RNAcentral
GCUUCGGUAGCUCAGUUGGUAGAGCACUUGCCCGCGGAAGGCAAAGGUCCCGAGUUCGAGUCUCGGUCGGACACA